Non-coding RNA from Daphnia magna, 121 nucleotides. The record is from Rfam. NCBI's taxonomy places the organism in Eukaryota, Metazoa, Arthropoda, Branchiopoda, Diplostraca, Daphniidae.
UCACUCUGGUUUCUAAUCACUACCCGGAUAAAUCUUUCGCCUUUUACUAAAGAUUACCUUGUUUAGGAGCACUGACGAGUCUAUAUGACUACUAAUACUCCUACAUUUCCUCUAUGAGACU